RNAcentral lists this ribosomal RNA (253 nucleotides) under uncultured bacterium. Its description in RNAcentral is "partial 16S ribosomal RNA". It matches the Rfam family "Bacterial small subunit ribosomal RNA", at positions 524 to 776 of the family's 1533-position model. The record is from RNAcentral.
UACGUAGGUGGCGAGCGUUAUCCGGAAUGAUUGGGCGUAAAGCGAGCGCAGGCGGUUGUUUAGGUCUGAUGUGAAAGCCUUCGGCUUAACCGAAGAAGUGCAUCGGAAACCGGGCGACUUGAGUGCAGAAGAGGACAGUGGAACUCCAUGUGUAGCGGUGGAAUGCGUAGAUAUAUGGAAGAACACCAGUGGCGAAGGCGGCUGUCUGGUCUGCAACUGACGCUGAGGCUCGAAAGCAUGGGUAGCGAACAGG